This is a long non-coding RNA of Mercenaria mercenaria, 6659 nucleotides long. RefSeq lists it as uncharacterized. The record is from RefSeq and is a predicted model, not a curated record. NCBI's taxonomy places the organism in Eukaryota, Metazoa, Mollusca, Bivalvia, Venerida, Veneridae. The transcript is spliced from 6 exons.
UUUUCUUCCUUUUGGCAACAUUAUGUUAUGUUUGUUUCUGUUUAUACACAUGCCUGUCUGUAUCUUAUACACACACAACAGGUUUAGCACGGAAAGACAUGUCCACUUCAAUGCAUUGGUAUAAAUGGAUGACCGACGUUCAGAUGUACUAAGUUAUACAGCAAAUUUUGGAGCAUAAAGGGUGUGUAUAUUUACUUUUCCUUUGAUGCGUAAUUUGUAUAAAGGUAAUACUAAAAUUAUAUAUGUUUGUUUCUGUUCUUACACAUGCAUUUUUCUAUGUAUACACUUAACAGGGUUACCAUGGAAACGUACCUCUUAAACUAAACAAUGGUAUGUAUAUUUUCGCUUCGUUAUACUGUAUGUUUAGUGUUUGCUGUUUUGUCAGGGAUUUGUUUACAGUGGCUACUUGGUUGUUUCUGUGGUGGUGUUUGUUGUGGUGUUUGGUGUGUUUGUUGUGGUGUUUGUUGUGGUGUUUUCGUGUUUAUGGAGGUGUCUGUGGUGGUUUCAGUGUGGUCUUCUCGGUUUUGUUCUUGUUGGUUGUAUUGUUUGGUUGAAAACGGGUAUUUGGUGCGUUUUAUUUGUUGUAUUUGGUUCUUUGUCAUGGUGUUUUUCUUUCUGCCAUUAACAAUGUAUUAUUACUCGCUUUGUAUACCGUAGAAAACUAUUAGAAUAAGUUAAAUAUUAUAUUGUGUUAUAUUAACUUUACUUGUCCAGCAAAUUUUAUAUACCCAGGAACACGUAUCAAGAUAUAUGCAGACGAAUAGGCACCAUGUACAGACGACAACUUGGACUGGGAAGCGUGCGCCAUUGUUUUAUUUCUGCUUUUUAUUCCUUUAGUUUUGCAUUUUGUUGCGUUUUUAUAUUAUACUAUUUAGUAUGCAUCUCUUUGCAGAAUUUUUAAGUUGAAUACAAGCAGGUGUAAAGAUGUCGCACUGUAGAUGACACAACGGUCCAGUGGAUGGUGAAGAUAGCGCGGCUGAUGUUGACUGUACAGACACGCGUUAAGAUGUCAUGCUGUAGCUGUGACAAUGGUUUAGUGGACGACGCAGCUUGGUUCUUCUUCUCGGACGCACUGAGUAUUCAGUCAGCAGAGCAUUAAGAAAGCAAAGGUCACUUUUCCACUUGGAGUAAUUCACAGUAGCAUGGGAAUGCGGACAUACAUCCUGGUUUUGGUGAAAGAAAUGCUCGAACUAUCCGACGAGAAGCAAUUUCUUGGAUUAUACACGAAGAAAAUGUUAUUUGAUGGAAAAAUAGUGGCAGUAGAACUACCUUGCUGGUACCCUAACGAAGCCGGUCACCAGAUGUGCAUUGAAACCCUAUCGAACCCUUGCGUUAACAUGGUAAUCAGCCGUUAUCAACAAGGCAAGAUAGUGGCUGCAUGGUUAAAGUGGAAUUCAAGCCUUGGUGGACCUUUCUUCUGUAAAUGUCCCGUCUUGUUGAUGGUAGACAGCUGUUCAACACCUCGUACACAACAGAGAAACCCCCUCGGACGAAGACUUCGUUCAGAUCUUAAAGCAAGAAGACAGUGUUUGUUAUUAUUGAAAGACAUAGGAUAAGAAGCAAUGACAGAAAACAAAUAUCACCAUACCGCCUUGUCUUUAAUAUUUCCAACAGCUGACAGUCCGAUGUAAGCCAGAUUCACAUGUAAGAAAUAUCUGCAGAAGGAAGAACCAAUGAUGGUAGAUCCACGACAGUCCCGGCACAAGCACACAUGGCAUCACCACAGCCCCGACACAAGCCUUGUUAAACAGAUUAGAUAUAAACUGACAUGUAUAUUAUUAUACCCUCAUGUACAGAGUACAUGGGAUAUAUUGGAGUCACAAAUGUCAGAAGGCCCAUUCUUCCGUUCGCCUAUCUGUCCAUCAUCUCCGCUGGGAAGAUUAAAAAACUGGCUUCUUUUAUUAGCCUCAACAGGAAUGUUCGUUGUGCACAACCCAAAUCACUAGGCACAAAGUCAGUAUUACUUUUGGAGGACAAAGUUCAAAUAACUUUAAUUUAGUGUCCGCUCCAUAUAUGUCUAAACGAAUAUUUAGGUCAAGCAUUCGUUAUUGUACUCGCCCUGCCUGCAGGGUCACUGUCACCGUUGCAUUCAGGUUAAAAGUUUAUAUGAUUCUCAAAGUCACUAUAUUUUCUUAACAACUGCCUAUAUUAGCAUCAAACUUCACAUAAGGGUUGAUUGUGGUAAAACGGAGACAUUUAUUUGUUAGGGGUAAACCAUCCAAAAGGUCAAAAUUACUGGGGUCAUAUUUUGUAAUUGUGCUGGUUAAAUCUUAGAUUGUUUCUUAUAUCUUCUUAUACACCCGCUCCUACUCCCUACCAUAACCCACCCCAUAAAAAGGAAAAGAGUCUUUUUGUUUCAUCAUUCACGCUUACUUAUAUCCUAUAACAAUAAAUAUUGGUCAGCAUUCCCGAAUAGUCACGCGGGCUUUUUUACAACAGUUCUUGAUAUAAAAUUAGAAUAGUAAAUAUAUGUUAGCACUCACAACCUAGUUCAUUGGGUCAGUGGUCAAGUUCAGACUUAAAAGACCUCAUCAUAUUGUCUAAUCUAAUAAAGUAAGCACUAACUGUCAAUUCCAUUUAGCCGAAAUACGAAAAGCACAACACAUGCCACUAGGUUAAAGGUCAGUGUGACAUAUAAGAGAUCAAAGGUCAAAUAGGUUUGUGUCUGCUACAUAUCUUGUAACCCCAUUUUCCUUACACCCAUAAAACUAGCAAUAAAUAUCAAGAAGACCUGUAUAGAACCAAGAUUAUUAAGUCCAAGGUGGUCAAGGUUUCACUUGAAUGUCAAAAUGAUGACAACAUUGACUUACCCUGCAUCAAAGCAGCGUCUGGGGGUAACAAUAGCUCUAGUUUAUCAUUGUUAGCGGACUAAAUUUGAAUUGUAUCAACCAUUUGACAAAUAUUUCCUAAAUUUUAAGAUAAAUAUUUUAAACAAAAAUCUGGAAAUUGUUUUUUAACAUUGAUACAGUCAGACUAUUUUCAGACACAGCGAAUAUUUAUGUCUCCCCCAGGAGACAUAUUGUUUUUGCCCUGUCCGUCCGUCCGUCUGUCCGUCCGUCCGUCCGUACGUCACACUUCAUUUCCGAGCAAUAACUGGAGAACCAUUUGACCUAGAACCUUCAAACUUCAUAGGGUUGUAGGGCUGCUGUAGUAGACGACCCCUAUUGUUUUUGGGGUCACUCCGUCAAAGGUCAAGGUCACAGGGGCCUGAACAUUGAAAACCAUUUCCGAUCAAUAACAAGAGAAUCACUUGACCCAGAAUGUUGAAACUUCAUAGGAUGAUUGGUCAUGAAGAGUAGAUGACCCCUAUUGAUUUUGGGGUCACUCCGUCAAAGGUCAAGGUCACAGGGGCCUGAACAUUGAAAACAAUUUCCGAUCAAUAACUAGAGGACCACUUGACCCAGAAUGUUGAAACUUCAUAGGAUGAUUGGUCAUGAAGAGUAAAUGACCCCUAUUGAUUUUGGGGUCACUCCGUCAAAGGUCAAGGUCACAGGGGCCUGAACAUUGAAAACCAUUUCCGAUCAAUAACUAGAGAACCACUUGACCCAGAAUGUUGAAACUUCAUAAGAUGAUUGGCCAUGAAGAGUAGAUGACCCCUAUUGAUUUUGGGGUCACUCCAUUAAAGGUCAAGGUCACAGGGGCCUGAACAUUGAAAACAAUUUCCGGCCAGUAACUUGAGAACCACUUGACCCAGAAUGUUGAAACUUAAUAGGAUGAUUGCUCAUGCAGAGUAGAUGACCCCUAACUAUUUGGGGUCACUCUAUGAAAGGUCAAGGUCAAAGGGGCCUGAACAUUGAAAACCAUUUCCGGUCAGUAACUUGAGAACCACUUGACCCAGAAUGAUGAAACUUCAUAGGAUGAUUGGUCAUGCAGAGUAGAUGACCUCUAACGAUUUUAGGGUGACUCUGUUAAAGGUCAAUGCCACAGGGGCCUGAACAUGGAAAACCAUUUCCAGUCAAUAACUUGAGAACCUCUCGACCCAGAAUGUUGAAACUUCAUAGGAUGAUUGUUCAUGCAUAGUAAAUGACCCCUGUUGUUUUUGGGGUCACUCCGUUAAAGGUCAAGGUCACAGAGGCCUGAACAUUGAUAACCAGCUCCGAUCAAUAACUUGAGAACCACUUGACCCAGAAUGUUGAAACUUCAUAAGAUGAUUGAACAUGCAGAGUAGAUGACCCCUAUUGAUUUUGGGGUCAGUCUAUUAAAGGUCAAGGUCACAGUGGCCUGUUCAUGUAAAAUCAUUUUUUGGAAAUAACUUGAGAACCACUUGACCUACAAUGUUGAAACUUAAUAGGAUGAUUGGACAUGCAGAGUAGAUGACCCCUAUUUAUUUUGAGGUCACUUGAUCAAAGGUCAAGGUCACAGGAGCCUGAACAGUGACUUGAGAACCACUAGGCCAAGAGUGUUGAAAUUUAGCGGGAUGACUGGACAUGCCAAGUAGAUGAUCCCUAUUGCAGCCAACCAUCAGUGUCUCUUUGACUUUCGCUCCUGACCCCUAUUGACUUCUUGCCUAUAGGACUUUGCAUUGGGGGAGACAUGCGCUUUUUUAAAAAAAGCAUUUUCUAGUUUAGCUUGGUUUGUUGUCAGUCAUGAUUUUAUGCAAGGUAUUUUUCUAAAUGAUAUUUUUGUUGCAAAUAGCACAUUUGACAUUAAUGUUACUUUAUUAAAUCAGGGACAGCUAAUUUUUGUAAGAAUAAAAAUACAUGAUUUGGUUAACUAUUUCAAAAAGUGUCAAAUUUUUUUGCUCUUUUGAACAGUUGCGUUUUAACUUCUCAGGGAUAGUUUCAAAUAUGAAUAUGUGUAUAAAAAGCUACUUUUCGCAAAUUGUAUAGUUUAUAGAGGGGGCUGAAUUCCAAACUCUCAUAUAUUUUAAAAAAUAUAGAGGACAAUUUUUUUAUUUCAGUGUAAGCUCGAAAUAGAAACAUUCUAGUGUUCACACGUGAAAACUUUUAAAAAAUAAUCACACGAAUUUUAUUCUAAUGCAUUUAAUCAUUAUUUUUGUUUUAUAUUUUCUGCCAACGUAACGCCAUACGCAAUGUGCAACGUUACUCUACAUUUAAUGGCAAUAUAUAUGUUGGAAAAAAGUGACAUAGUGACAUUUUAAUUUACAUGUAGUUAUGUUUUAGUUAAAACGAUAUCCGAUUCUAGGUUAUUCAUAUUCUUGCGUUAAAUUGUGGUUACAAACAAGUGAAAAUUAUAUUUGGAUUUCCCACCUUUAAACAAUGGCUUUAUCAGGGUAUAAUGCACCGUUGUUUUCUUGAAACCUUCUCAAAAUAUGAUAUAUAAUUACAUAUGUUAGUAACUGCAGAAUGUACUCUUAAGACUGUAAUUCUUUUAUUCAAACUCCAUUCUAGUCCUUUGUCUGGGUCAUCUACAUGUUGCUUUUAAAAGUCAUUUGGCCUCAUUUUUGUACACUGAAUUUUACACAGUUUGGCAUAACUUUUAACCAACACUUAACUCUGAGCACUAACCUUAACCAUUUUGGGCUGAAGUGACUUUUAAAGCAACUUUUAUGGGAACAAGACUAGCAUAUCUAUAUAAAUGAUGGAUAAAAAAAAUGUUGGCAAACUUUCAGGUUUUUAGCCUACGCUUUUAAUGGAGCGUUAGAUUAUAACAUGAUAAAUUCAUUGUUUUAAACGGAGAGAAAUCCAAAUAUGAUGUCCACUAGAACGAAACUACACUUUAACGCGGAAGGAUAUGAAUUGUAAGGACGUGAAAUAUGCUUAAAAGCAACAAAGCUGUAUAGUAAUACUUUCAAUAAACUAAAAUACACGAGAAAAUAAUUGAAAUAUAAAAGAUUCUUAUACAACUCUUAGACCUAUUGAACUUAUUUUCCAACAUAAGCAUUGUGACGUAAUGAAAUGUAGCGUAACGUUACCCUUGGCGCAUGUCUUUGCAUGGCUGAAUAAGAAAAGAUAAUAUGAAAAAUAAUUAGUUUAACUCGGCAAGACAUUUAAGUUAAGAAUUAGAUAUGAAUGUUUCAACAUGGGUUAUUUUCACUUGGGAACACUAGAUUUAAGUUCACUCGGUGCUGAAAUAAACGAAUGUCUUCUAUACCUUUACAAUUGCAAAUGGGUAAAACUUAAGAUGACAGAAAUAACUAAAACAAUCCCUUACUAUUUUGAAAUGACAGUCAAAGUUUCAUUUUUGGUGCAAAUAUUGUUAUACUGAUUUAUUAUUGAUAUACAUUUUGUACCUUGUAUUGUAGUAACGUAGAUACUUCGAAAUAUAAUUCCAAGCUUACCAUUUUUUCUCAAGGAGUUGAAUUCAAUGAAAUUUUGUACAUAUCGUUUCAAAAUAUAAAAUAAUAGUAUUUUUAGAAGUAUUUUUAUUGUUUUAACACUGUAGUUAUACUUUUUAAAUGUUAUUUGCGAUUAUUUUUUAUAUUUUAUUUCUCUUUGAAAAAUGAAUAAAAUUCCAUACGAUUGUGUUGAUUGUUUUAGUUUAAGAAAUAAAAGGUCAUACAAUUGCAUUAGUUAUUGAUGUUUCGGAAAUCAAAAAUGACUUUCCUUUAGUAUCUCCUUUAGUACUUACCGUCACACCGUACGCAAAAUGCAGGUGUGUUCAGUUGGUCAUACUUUAUCCAGAAAAUAUCCUUAUUGAUAUGCCUUUUGUCGACCACCAAUGGUAUUUCACCUUGACGCCAUUUGAAAAAUAAACUG